GUGUCAGCAGCCGCGGUAAUACGUAGGGUGCGAGCGUUGUCCGGAAUUACUGGGCGUAAAGAGCUCGUAGGCGGUUUGUCGCGUCGUCUGUGAAAACUCGCAGCUCAACUGUGGGCGUGCAGGCGAUACGGGCAGACUUGAGUACUGCAGGGGAGACUGGAAUUCCUGGUGUAGCGGUGAAAUGCGCAGAUAUCAGGAGGAACACCGGUGGCGAAGGCGGGUCUCUGGGCAGUAACUGACGCUGAGGAGCGAAAGCGUGGGUAGCGAACAGGAUUAGAUACCCCAGUAGUCC
RNAcentral lists this ribosomal RNA (292 nucleotides) under uncultured bacterium. Its description in RNAcentral is "partial 16S ribosomal RNA". It matches the Rfam family "Bacterial small subunit ribosomal RNA", at positions 505 to 796 of the family's 1533-position model. The record is from RNAcentral.